This 381-nucleotide ribosomal RNA is filed under the name uncultured eukaryote. RNAcentral's name for it is "partial 18S ribosomal RNA". It matches the Rfam family "Eukaryotic small subunit ribosomal RNA", at positions 592 to 976 of the family's 1831-position model. The record is from RNAcentral.
CAAUAGCGUAUAUUAAAGUUGUUGCGGUUAAAAAGCUCGUAGUUGGAUUUCUGUCGAGGACGACCGGUCCGCCCUCUGGGUGAUGCAUCUGGCUCGGCCUUGGCAUCUUCUUGGGGAACGUUACUGCACUUGACUGUGUGGUGCGGUAUCCAGGACUUUUACUUUGAGGAAAUUAGAGUGUUUCAAGCAGGCGCACGCCUUGAAUACAUUAGCAUGGAAUAAUAAGAUAGGACCUUGGUUCUAUUUUGUUGGUUUCUAGAGCUGAGGUAAUGAUUAAUAGGGAUAGUUGGGGGCAUUCGUAUUUAACUGUCAGAGGUAAAAUUCUUGGAUUUGUUAAAGACGGACUACUGCGAAAGCAUUUGCCAAGGAUGUUUUCAUUGA